This 497-nucleotide ribosomal RNA is filed under the name uncultured bacterium. Its description in RNAcentral is "partial 16S ribosomal RNA". It matches the Rfam family "Bacterial small subunit ribosomal RNA", at positions 28 to 507 of the family's 1533-position model. The record is from RNAcentral.
GAUGAACGCUGGCGGCGUGCCUAAUACAUGCCAGUCGAGCGAACGGACGAGAAGCUUGCUUCUCUGAUGUUAGCGGCGGACGGGUGAGUAACACGUGGAUAACCUACCUAUAAGACUGGGAUAACCUCGGGAAACCGGAGCUAAUACCGGAUGAUAUUUUGAACCGCAUGGUUCAAAAGUGAAAGACGGUCUUGCUGUCACUUAUAGAUGGAUCCGCGCUGCAUUAGCUAGUUGGUAAGGUAACGGCUUACCAAGGCAACGAUGCAUAGCCGACCUGAGAGGGUGAUCGGCCACACUGGAACUGAGACACGGUCCAGACUCCUACGGGAGGCAGCAGUAGGGAAUCUUCCGCAAUGGGCGAAAGCCUGACGGAGCAACGCCGCGUGAGUGAUGAAGGUCUUCGGAUCGUAAAACUCUGUUAUUAGGGAAGAACAUAUGUGUAAGUAACUGUGCACAUCUUGACGGUACCUAAUCAGAAAGCCACGGCUAACUACGUG